Acanthosepion pharaonis is the source of this 113-nucleotide non-coding RNA. The record is from the annotation of a GenBank genome assembly. NCBI's taxonomy places the organism in Eukaryota, Metazoa, Mollusca, Cephalopoda, Sepiida, Sepiidae.
CGGCCAUAUAGCGUUGAUAGACCGGUUCCCGUACGAUCACCGAAGUUAAGCAAAGUUGAGCCUGAUCAGUAUGGUCAGGUGGGUGACCUCUAGGGAAUACCAGGUGCUGUAAG